This is a non-coding RNA of Myotis davidii, 75 nucleotides long. The record is from Rfam. NCBI's taxonomy places the organism in Eukaryota, Metazoa, Chordata, Mammalia, Chiroptera, Vespertilionidae.
GGUGAUUCUCAGGUGAUGCAUCCCAGAGUCGGGUUUCCUUCUCUCUGGUUCCAGGUGUGUCACCCAAGAACCACA